Molecule: ribosomal RNA, 480 nt
Filed under: uncultured bacterium
Lineage: Bacteria
Description: partial 16S ribosomal RNA
Rfam family: Bacterial small subunit ribosomal RNA
Source: RNAcentral
GACGAACGCUGGCGGCGUGCUUAACACAUGCAAGUCGAACGAUGAAGAAAAGAAUCGAAGCUUCGGCAGAAAUUCAUUUCGGAUUAGUGGCAGACGGGUGAGUAACGCGUGAGCAACCUACCUCUUACAAAGGGAUAGCCUCGGGAAACCGGGAUUAAUACCAUAUAACAUUGUGACGAAGCAUUUCGAUGCAAUCAAAGCUACGGCGGUAAGAGAUGGGCUCGCGUCCCAUUAACCGGAUGGUGAGGUAACGGCUCACCAUAGUGACGAUGGGUAACCGGCCUGAGAGGGUGAACGGUCACACUGGAACUAAGACACGGUCCAGACUCCUACGGGAGGCAGCAGUGGGGAAUAUUGCACAAUGGAGGGAACUCUGAUGCAGCGACGCCGCGUGAGUGAUGAAGGAAUUCGUUUCGUAAAACUCUGUUCUAUGGGAAGAAAAGGACUGUACCAUAGGAGAAAGCUCCGGCUAAAUACGUG